Long non-coding RNA from Armigeres subalbatus, 465 nucleotides. RefSeq lists it as uncharacterized. The transcript is spliced from 3 exons. Lineage: Eukaryota; Metazoa; Arthropoda; Insecta; Diptera; Culicidae. The record is from RefSeq and is a predicted model, not a curated record.
GUCUAAGCAUUCGGAGUUAUCGGUGUAUUUUUAUUCCGUCAUCGCAAAACAGAAGUUUCGGAUAACUGGGUGACUUCUGAAACGCUAACCGGACUCCAACGGGGGAAUGCAGAUCGCAAAUAAUCGGAUACUAAAGCAGAAUCGAUGCCGGCGAAAGAAUUGUUUAUAUCCAGAUGGUUUAUCGAAGGAAAAAAACAACCUUUUUCAGCACUAAGCGGAUACAAAAAGUGGAAGCCGAUCAACAGGUCUAAAAAUGCAGACGAAACAAAAUUUGGAAACAAAUGGUUUACCGACGGAAAAGCAGAAUAGGAACAGUCUAUACACACAUGGCCACAGAAUAGUAAUGCUGUAAGUUCAAAAUGGAAUAUAAAUAAAAGAAUUUUCUCAUGAAUACAAAUGAAACUGUUAUUUAAAAUAAAAUGGAGGGAAACCCCGUGGGGAAGGGGUGGGUUGGCAGGUUUGGGA